AGACUGUGAUAAAUUCCUUUAAUUCUGGACACCAUGUAUGAAACAGCAUGCAUAUUCUGAUUACUUUGCAGAACUGAGGCCU
Molecule: small nucleolar RNA, 82 nt
Organism: Octodon degus (degu)
Lineage: Eukaryota; Metazoa; Chordata; Mammalia; Rodentia; Octodontidae
Source: Ensembl